This 494-nucleotide ribosomal RNA is filed under the name uncultured bacterium. Its description in RNAcentral is "partial 16S ribosomal RNA". It matches the Rfam family "Bacterial small subunit ribosomal RNA", at positions 28 to 507 of the family's 1533-position model. The record is from RNAcentral.
GACGAACGCUGGCGGCGUGCUUAACACAUGCAAGUCGAACGGAAAGGCCUGCUUUCCCUUGUGGAUUGCGGGUGCUCGAGUGGCGAACGGGUGAGUAACACGUGAGUGAUCUGCCCCCAACUUGGGUAUAAGCCUGGGAAACUGGGUCUAAUUCCCGAUAGGACUGCAGGGUGGUGCCUGUGGUGGAAAACGAUUUUCUAGUGGUUGGGGAUGAGCUCGCGGCCUAUCAGCUUGUUGGUGGGGUAAUGGCCUACCAAGGCGGCGACGGGUAGCCGGCCUGAGAGGGUGGACGGCCACAUUGGGACUGGGAUACGGCCCAGACUCCUACGGGAGGCAGCAGUGGGGAAGAAUGCACAAUGGGCGGAAGCCUGAUGCAGCGACGCCGCGUGGGGGAUGACGGCCUUCGGGUUGUAAACUCCUUUCGACCGCGAGGAAGCCACCUGGUUGGAAGGGUGGUGACGGUAGUGGUAGAAGAAGCACCGGCUAACUACGUG